Molecule: non-coding RNA, 85 nt
Organism: Euryarchaeota archaeon 13_1_20CM_4_64_14
Lineage: Archaea; Methanobacteriati; Methanobacteriota
Source: Rfam
GCGUGGGUAGCCAAGCCCGGUCAAAGGCGAGGGACUCAAGAUCCCUUCCCGCAGGGGUUCCCAGGUUCGAAUCCUGGCCCACGCA